CAGCGACAGAGAGAUUAGCACCCAUCCCUUCAUCUGGCUCUCCAGGUUCCUCACACAUGAAACACUGGAAGGCGUGGUAGUAUAUCGAGAAAACAAAACACCCAGUAGAAGCCAGAUGUAGCGAACUACUCCUGCUGUUGAUGGAUUUAAAUAAUCAAACACUCACUAGUUACAGGCAACAUCAUCAUUGAGUGAAGUUUAGAAGAUUUUUUGACGAAUUAUUUCUGAAACGUCAACUGGAGAGUGAUGAAGUGGCAAAUGAUAGUGCCAAAUUGAGAAAAUUUGCUUGGAAAUGGCUUUUUCUCUUCAGCUUAAACUUUCUUUGAAACCUCUGGGAAAGAUUUUUAAAAUAUUGGCUUUUCUUGUUGUCAUUCGGCAACAAAUAUUUGUAUUUUUAUACAAAGGAAAUGCUUCACUUCCAACUUUCUUUCUUGCAACAUGCCUAUUGUCUGCUUUUUAAAUCCCUUUGCAUGAAUAAAUCAAUUCUAUAGUUUCAUAGGUAAAAUGAGGGGUUUUGUUGUGCCAUGUUGGUUAUUCAUUUGUGGUGUGAAAGCUGAUAUUACCCAGAAAAACUCUGUGUUUGUCUGUAUACCUUUUUUUUGCGUGUUGCCAUAUUUAUGUCAUUUUUUUUUUACAUUUGUGCAUGUGUGCGUUGUGUUGCAUAGUACGUCUUUGUCUGUGUUACAUGUAGUGUAGUAACAUCCCAACUCCUCCUUCUCCCACGCCUCCCUCCCCUCCACACCUUUAGACCGUACCCAUGGGUGUCCCUCCUUUUAUGGGGACUCACCCCUGCUUCAGUAUGGUAAGACCACCAGUCCAGCCCACUAAUGACCCUGAACCUCUGUGGACAUUAAUGGACACGGAUGGACAAUGAUCCCUUUAGGCGGCCCACAAACCCUUCAGACAGUCGAUUUGUGUCUCAUUGUCUGUUUUUACUUGUGUCUGUGUAAGGCCGGAGCACCAGGCGCUCCCAUGAUGCCCAUGGUUAGGCCAGGCUUCCCUGCUGCCGGAGCAGGCCCAGCCCCUGGAGCACCGAUGUCUGGUGCCGCCCAGAGCCCCAGAAAGCCCCCACCACCCAGGAAUGCUCUGGAUGAUCUCAACAUUAAGGAUUUUAUGUAGAUGGACAGACCUGUAAACUCUUAAGGUACGUUUGAUCACACUUUGCAGUUUGUAAAGUAUGUUCAGAUGAGUUUUAUUAUAAAUCUGCUGCGCUUGAUAGUUCU
RNAcentral lists this long non-coding RNA (1223 nucleotides) under Sphaeramia orbicularis (orbiculate cardinalfish). RNAcentral's name for it is "lncRNA (ENSSORG00005023249.1)". The record is from RNAcentral. Lineage: Eukaryota; Metazoa; Chordata; Actinopteri; Kurtiformes; Apogonidae.